This 618-nucleotide long non-coding RNA is filed under the name Brassica rapa (field mustard). RNAcentral's name for it is "long non-coding RNA (BRAP_LNC006073)". Lineage: Eukaryota; Viridiplantae; Streptophyta; Magnoliopsida; Brassicales; Brassicaceae. The record is from RNAcentral.
CACCUGAACUUUGUGUUUCCAAAUUCUUUUGGCCUAUGCCUAAGUUCCCUCCUUUUAAGGGAUUUGAUCAUCCUUUCCCUUUACCUCCACCUUUGGAGCUUCCACCGUUUCCUAAACCAUGCCCACCACCUCCGGUUCCGGUGUACGAGCCACCCCCAAAGGUGGAACUUCCACCACCUGUCCCGGUUCACGAGCCACCCCCAAAGGUAGAGGUUCCACCACCCGUCCCGGUUCACGACCCACCGCCAAAGGUGGAGCACCCACCUCCGGUUCCGGUUUACAAGCCACCUCCAAAGGUAGAGCACCCACCUCCAGUUCCGGUUUACAAGCCGCCUCCAAAGGUAGAGCACCCACCUCCGGUUCCGGUUUACAAGCCACCUCCAAAGGUAGAGCACCCACCUCCGGUUCCAGUACACAAGCCACCAACAAUCCCUAAGAAGCCAUGCCCGCCUAAGUCGCCGAAGAUUGAGCUUCCACCGCCAGUGCCAGUUCACAAACCACCGACUAAGAAGCCUUGUCCGCCCAUGCCACCAAAGAAAGUUGAUCCGCCACCGGUUCCAGUCCACAAGCCGCCGCCGAAAAUAGUCCUUCCACCGCCGGUACCAAUCCACAAGCCGC